GAUAGAUUCUUGCUGCACCUUCAUUUCCCCUUUCCAAGAAAAGCAUGCCUCAGCCACCGGAGUUUCAGAUGUUUCAUCUGAGGACAUCUGAGAGAGCCAAGCAGCAUGCAUAUAAUACGGCAAUGAAAGUAGCUAUGUAUGUGUCAACUUCAAGAAAUGAAACACCAGAAGCUUCAAGUCUAUCAAUUCAUUGAAGGAGGAGAAACAUGAAGCUGUUAACAAAUCUAAAGCUUGUUCUCCUAAUAAGAAGGUAACUUCUAGUAAAGGUGUCCUCCAGAAUAUGAACAAAACAUCAGCCACAACGAGGCUUCCAGAUGAACCAGCAAAGGAACUAUUAAAUAAAGGAUCGAAAGAGAAUGAGCCAGGUAAUCUGCUUCUGCAGCAUCAGAUCAUGGAAGUGGUCAAAGCACAUUUGCAAAAGAAUGGAAAAGUGCAGUACCAGUGUAGAAGAGAAAAGAAUAUUGGAAAUGGGCGACAAGAUAACAUUAGUAGGAGAUUGAGAUUGGAUGUAGUCUGAAAUCCCUCUGUAGUUUUGGUGGUCACCUUCAUCUGGCGCUUCAAGCGGGCAAAGCAAGCAAGCAAGCUUUUGUUGGAAGCAGUGUAUACUUAUAUAAAUAAUUGAAUUGUAUUUAUUCCUUGAAAAGAAAGAAAAGAAAAGAAAGCAUUUGAAAGAAAUAGCAAUGUACAGCAGACGUGAGAUUUUGUUAGCCUUAGUCAUGAUUUCCAUUAAAGGAG
Hibiscus syriacus is the source of this 735-nucleotide long non-coding RNA. RefSeq lists it as uncharacterized. The record is from RefSeq and is a predicted model, not a curated record. The transcript is spliced from 8 exons. NCBI's taxonomy places the organism in Eukaryota, Viridiplantae, Streptophyta, Magnoliopsida, Malvales, Malvaceae.